UUUAAGCAUGUAGGCUGGUUGUCCAGGCAAAUCCGGAUAAUCAAGGCUGAGGUGUGAUGACGAGGCACUACGGUGCUGAAGUAACAAAUGCCCUGCUUCCAGGAAAAGCCUCUAAGCAUCAGGUAACAUCAAAUCGUACCCCAAACCGACACAGGUGGUCAGGUAGAGAAUACCAAGGCGCUUGAGAGAACUCGGGUGAAGGAACUAGGCAAAAUGGUGCCGUAACUUCGGGAGAAGGCACGCUGGUGUGUAGGUGAAGUCCCUGCGGAUGGAGCUGAGACCAGUCGAAGAUACCAGCUGGCUGCAACUGUUUAUUAAAAACACAGCACUGUGCAAACACGAAAGUGGACGUAUACGGUGUGACGCCUGCCCGGUGCCGGAAGGUUAAUUGAUGGGGUUAUCCGUAAGGAGAAGCUCUUGAUCGAAGCCCCGGUAAACGGCGGCCGUAACUAUAACGGUCCUAAGGUAGCGAAAUUCCUUGUCGGGUAAGUUCCGACCUGCACGAAUGGCGUAAUGAUGGCCAGGCUGUCUCCACCCGAGACUCAGUGAAAUUGAACUCGCUGUGAAGAUGCAGUGUACCCGCGGCAAGACGGAAAGACCCCGUGAACCUUUACUAUAGCUUGACACUGAACAUUGAGCCUUGAUGUGUAGGAUAGGUGGGAGGCUUUGAAGCGUGGACGCCAGUCUGCGUGGAGCCAACCUUGAAAUACCACCCUUUAAUGUUUGAUGUUCUAACGUUGGCCCCUGACCGGGGUUGCGGACAGUGUCUGGUGGGUAGUUUGACUGGGGCGGUCUCCUCCCAAAGCGUAACGGAGGAGCACGAAGGUUAGCUAAUCCUGGUCGGACAUCAGGAGGUUAGUGCAAUGGCAUAAGCUAGCUUGACUGCGAGCGUGACGGCGCGAGCAGGUGCGAAAGCAGGUCAUAGUGAUCCGGUGGUUCUGAAUGGAAGGGCCAUCGCUCAACGGAUAAAAGGUACUCCGGGGAUAACAGGCUGAUACCGCCCAAGAGUUCAUAUCGACGGCGGUGUUUGGCACCUCGAUGUCGGCUCAUCACAUCCUGGGGCUGAAGUAGGUCCCAAGGGUAUGGCUGUUCGCCAUUUAAAGUGGUACGCGAGCUGGGUUUAGAACGUCGUGAGACAGUUCGGUCCCUAUCUGCCGUGGGCGCUGGAGAAUUGAGGGGGGCUGCUCCUAGUACGAGAGGACCGGAGUGGACGCAUCACUGGUGUUCGGGUUGUCAUGCCAAUGGCACUGCCCGGUAGCUAAAUGCGGAAGAGAUAAGUGCUGAAAGCAUCUAAGCACGAAACUUGCCCCGAGAUGAGUUCUCCCUGAGACUUUAAGUCUCCUGAAGGAACGUUGAAGACGACGACGUUGAUAGGCCGGGUGUGUAAGCGCAGCGAUGCGUUGAGCUAACCGGUACUAAU
RNAcentral lists this ribosomal RNA (1420 nucleotides) under Klebsiella pneumoniae. RNAcentral describes it as "bacterial LSU rRNA". It matches the Rfam family "Bacterial large subunit ribosomal RNA", at positions 1511 to 2905 of the family's 2925-position model. The record is from RNAcentral. Lineage: Bacteria; Pseudomonadati; Pseudomonadota; Gammaproteobacteria; Enterobacterales; Enterobacteriaceae.